This 297-nucleotide unclassified non-coding RNA is filed under the name uncultured fungus. RNAcentral's name for it is "partial contains small subunit ribosomal RNA, internal transcribed spacer 1, and 5.8S ribosomal RNA". The stretch from base 1 to 73 matches the Rfam family "Eukaryotic small subunit ribosomal RNA", at positions 1759 to 1831 of the family's 1831-position model. The record is from RNAcentral. Lineage: Eukaryota; Fungi.
GCAAACUUGGUCAUUUAGAGGAAGUAAAAGUCGUAACAAGGUUUCCGUAGGUGAACCUGCGGAAGGAUCAUUACCAAAGAUUAGCUGUCCGGCUGCAAAGCUGGGACGCUUCAACCUUUUGUGAACCCAACCAACUUUCGCUUCGGCAGCCGGUUCAGGUCGAACUGCAACCGUAAGCCUGCCGUUAGCACCCAACCAAAACUUUUGUUCAAACUUUGUCUGAAGCGAAAUUUUCGAAUGAAAAUCAAAACUUUCAACAACGGAUCUCUUGGUUCCCGCAUCGAUGAAGAACGCAGC